AACGGAGGUUUUUAAACGGAAGUUUUCGGAUGGAAGUUAGAAGCUUAGUGGCGGACGGGUGAGUAACGCGUGGGUAACCUGCCUCAUACAGGGGGAUAACAGUUAGAAAUGACUGCUAACACCGCAUAAUAUAGCGAAACCGCAUGAUUUUGCUAUCAAAUAUUUAUAGGUAUGAGAUGGGCCCGCGUCUGAUUAGCUAGUUGGUGGGGUAAAAGCCUACCAAGGCGACGAUCAGUAGCCGGCUUGAGAGAGUGACCGGCCACAUUGGGACUGAGACACGGCCCAAACUCCUACGGGAGGCAGCAGUGGGGAAUAUUGGACAAUGGGGGAAACCCUGAUCCAGCGAACCGCCGCGUGAGUGAAGAAGUAUUUCGGUAUGUAAAGCUCUAUCAGCAGGGAAGAUAAUGACAGUACCUGACUAAGAAGCCCCGGCUAACUACGUGCCAGCAGCUGC
RNAcentral lists this ribosomal RNA (454 nucleotides) under uncultured bacterium. RNAcentral describes it as "bacterial SSU rRNA". It matches the Rfam family "Bacterial small subunit ribosomal RNA", at positions 50 to 518 of the family's 1533-position model. The record is from RNAcentral.